GACACACUGAAAAGGAAGGAACACACUUAAUGACUUGUACAACUACCACAUAUUCAAACAUAUACAGUCACACCCGUUCAUCGACUUAGAAUAAUGUGUCCUAUUUACCACAACUGCGUCGGAAAACUGAAGUACACAAUAGACAUCUAAGAGCUUUGCCACCAGUGCAGCAAUAUUCCUGUAAAUAAGAGCACAAGCACAUAUAUUAUACACACAGUUAUGUGAAUGACACAUUUUUUGUUGAGACAACAUUAAAUAAAAAGUUGUGCCACUGAUCUGGUCAACUUACUCGUCAGAGGUAAAAAUGUAUCCAAGUACAUGUUUUGCGCUGAGUAGGAUGACACCUUGAAAAAUGGCCAGUACAGCUGUAGAAUCCAGUCAGAACAGAACAGAGAAGGCAGUCAGAACCAUCCGACUCAUCAUGUAACCAUGGAGCCCAAAAACAUGAGGGGGUGGGAAAUGUAAGCUUUUGUUUACCUGCGAAGAUCAAAACCACUUUGCUGGUGAGGAUGGCUCCUGCAGUGUCUCCUGCACCUAGUGCAUUUCCCACACGAAUGCAGGCAGCCCCUUGGAUGCCUAAAGGGAUCUUAACAGCCACACACAAAUAAGCAAAAAACCUGCUAGGAAUCCUCCGAUCUCAUAGAUCCACCACCCAAAGCAGCACAAGAAGGCACUGGGGAUGGCCAGCUUCAAAGAACCCCAUUCCUGCAGGCAGUCUGAGUUCCAGCCUGUGGCACAACACAACACUCACACUCAGUACCAGAGCUGGUGACACAGUACAGUAGGCCUGACAAGUGUGUGCAGCGUAUGCUUCAUUAAAAAAUAUUGUGCCUUUGAAGACAAUUGAAUUUAUGUCCAUGUAUAGGAGAGAGGGAGAGAUCAGUCAAACCUGCAGCCUGACUGCAACAGCAAGGAGCUUGCGGCAGUUAGGCCACAUACUGACAGCACUCUGUCACACGCCACACAAUUUAUUUCACUGGAGUGAAUUGCUAUUGCAACGAUGGCAGCCUACAAACUCUAGAUUUGCAGCACCCAGCUUCCAGCACGGGUUACCUGGCCACCUCAGGCUCCUGUCCCAGCACCAGCAGGAUGGCCUGGGAGUUGAUCAGCAGUGCCCAGCAGGGCAGACAGAAGAGCAGCAAGAUCAGGAUGCUCUUCUGCAGGAUCACCCCCACACGCAGCAGGUUCUUCGCCCCAAACGUCUGCGCAGAGAACAAACACACACACACACACACACACACACACACACACGCAUGCAGCUCAGUGGCAGGGCACUUGCUCACAGAUACACAUGCACACAUGCACACACACACACACACACACACACACACACACACACACACAAACGAAUGCACGCACACACACACUCACACACACACACACACACAAACACAGACAUACACACAUGCACACAGCUCAGCAGCAGGGCACUUGCUCGUAGACACACACACAAACACAUACAGACACACUCACACAGGCACACACAGGCACUCUCUAACACACACACACACACAAACACUCUCUCUCACACACACACACACAAUGCAUGCAUACAUAAGCAUGCAUUCUGUAUAUUAAUCGACGCAUUGUCUUAAAGCUUACCAUCACAAACGCAAUUUCAUCCUGUCAUUUCAUAAAACAUAAUCACACACUUACAAUGCCAGACAGGGGAGACCGUUUUAGUUUAAAAACACCACCAUCAACAUGUCCUCUGGCGUAGCUUUCAUCUUAUGUGAUUGAAUAAGAAUCCUGUUUUUUUUUUUUUUUUUUUAAGGCUAUCAGGUUUCAGUCAUCUGGAAAAUCAUGCGUAUCAACAUCAAGGUGAAGCCUACCUGAGAAAUUAGUGUGUCACAGGCUAGGGUUAAUCCAAGACCCGUAGAUGCACUUGAUAUAUUUAUAACCUGUAGAGCAGACUGUCACUAACAACAGAAAUGGUCUGAAUGGCUUAUGCAGUCGGUUAUAAAAGAAUCCACCAAGACUGAUGGGACGUGAAUGGAAAGUAGAUGGAAGGGCUUACAGCACAGGCCAUGGCAUAACCAGCAAGAGCACUGUUCCCAAGGCGGCCAACGAAUAUCGUCACCACAAAGGGCAAGAGGGGUCCGGUCAGACGCAGGAUGCAGUAGAGCUCUUCCCUGAUGGCCAGAGGGACCCUGCGCCUCAAAGGGCUGCAGCAGAACAGCUUGGCACUGGGCUCGUCCAGCGAGAAGGCCCCCGCAGCCCUGCUGCCUCCGGUCGCAGACAUGUUGUCCUCUCCUCAGCCCUGGGCUGGCCAAGGGGAGUCAGGGGCCACUAUGGUGCCAUCCUUCAGCCAGCGUCAGGGUGGGGUGGCAGUGGUCCAGUUUCCAGCGUCUAUGGUGCCGUUGGUUCUUGAGCUCCAGGAGGACUCUGGUAGAGGCAGGAGGAGGUGGACUGUGACACCCACACCGAGGAUGAGGAGGAGAGCCAGCACAG
Molecule: long non-coding RNA, 2451 nt
Organism: Sardina pilchardus (European sardine)
Lineage: Eukaryota; Metazoa; Chordata; Actinopteri; Clupeiformes; Clupeidae
Exons: 5
Source: RefSeq, a predicted model, not a curated record